This 478-nucleotide ribosomal RNA is filed under the name Neohirasea fruhstorferi. RNAcentral describes it as "partial large subunit ribosomal RNA". It matches the Rfam family "Bacterial large subunit ribosomal RNA", at positions 1920 to 2612 of the family's 2925-position model. Lineage: Eukaryota; Metazoa; Arthropoda; Insecta; Phasmatodea; Lonchodidae. The record is from RNAcentral.
UUAUUUAAUGGCCGCGGUAUUUUGACCGUGCAAAGGUAGCAUAAUCAUUAGUUUAUUAAUUGUGAACUGGAAUGAAUGGUUAGACGAAAUAUUAACUGUCUCAUAUUUAUUAUUAUAAUUUAAGAUUUGAGUUAAAACGCUUAAAUUUUUUUAGAGGACGAGAAGACCCUAUAGAUCUUAAUUAUUUAAUUUAUAUUUAUUAUUGGGUUAUUGUAUUUUUUAUAUAUUAAAUUUUUUGGUUGGGGUGACAUUAAGAUAUAAUAAACUCUUAUUAAUUUGAUUCAAUUAUUUUUGUAUUUUUGACCUUAUAUUAUUGUUAAAAGAUUAAGAUACCUUAGGGAUAACAGCGUAAUUCUUUUUGAGAGUUCUUAUCGACAAAGGAGAUUGCGACCUCGAUGUUGGAUUAAGAUUAAAUUUAGGUGUAGAAACUUAAAUGAUAAGUCUGUUCGACUUUUAAAUUCUUACAUGAUCUGAGUUC